This 399-nucleotide ribosomal RNA is filed under the name uncultured bacterium. RNAcentral's name for it is "bacterial SSU rRNA". It matches the Rfam family "Bacterial small subunit ribosomal RNA", at positions 356 to 772 of the family's 1533-position model. The record is from RNAcentral.
GGGGAAUAUUGGACAAUGGGGGCAACCCUGAUCCAGCCAUGCCGCGUGAGUGAUGAAGGCCUUCGGGUUGUAAAGCUCUUUUGGCGGGGACGAUGAUGACGGUACCCUAGGAAUAAGCACCGGCUAACUCCGUGCCAGCAGCCGCGGUAAUACGGAGGGUGCAAGCGUUAUCCGGAUUCACUGGGUUUAAAGGGUGCGUAGGAGGGCAGGUAAGUCAGUGGUGAAAUCUCCAAGCUUAACUUGGAAACUGCCGUUGAUACUAUCUGUCUUGAAUAUUGUGGAGGUGAGCGGAAUAUGUCAUGUAGCGGUGAAAUGCUUAGAUAUGACAUAGAACACCAAUUGCGAAGGCAGCUCGCUACUCAAUUAUUGACUCUGAGGCACGAAAGCGUGGGGAUCAAA